UUUAAUAAUCCCAAGCAAAACAAAACAAGGCAAAGCCCAGCCUUCAUUAUUAUUAUCAGAGUUAUUUCUCAGGUAAAUCUCUAAAUUCAUCCUCUCCCAAAAACUGAAGCUGAAUCUAUAUUUCUCUUAUUACUAUUAUCAGAGUUAUUUCUCAGGCUUUCUUGUUUAAAUGUCGAGUAGCUCCAAAAGUGAUGGAGACAGCUCUUUUGAUGCUGAGGAACUUUUGCAAAUUGGGACUCGAUGCAGAGAGCUGCGAAAAGAAAAGGACAUGUUGAGAGAUUCACAGCCCCAGAGCUUUGAACUUAUCAGGAGAUUAGAACUACAUGUUAAACAAUUAUCAGAGGCUCGUACUGAAGACAAGAAACACAUUCAGAAGUUGGAAAGAGAGCUGUUGAACUGCUCUCAAGAGAUAGAUUACUUGCAGGAUCAGCUAAAUGCGAGGAAUUCAGAGGUAUACACCCUGGGGGGGCAUGUGCAUGAGCUUGAGUUGAAAUUAGCAAAUAUGGAACAUUUACAAGCAAACAAUGGCCAGUUAAGGGAGGAACUGAAAAGGUGUGAUUCAGAGCACUUGUUAUUGUUACAGGAACUAGAGAGCAAAGAAAUAGAGUUGCAGGAGUCAGCUUUGUGCAUAGGGAAGCUGGAGGAGUCGAUUUCAUCUCUAACUCUAGAUUCCCAAUGUGAAAUAGAGAGCAUGAAGCUUGAUAUGAUAGCUUUGGAGCAGGCUUGCUUUAAAGCUAAAAAAACCCAGGAAGAAACCAUCCAAGAAAAUGCUAGGAUGAAUGGGUUAAUUAAAGAACUUGAAUUUCAGAUUCUUGAGGCAAAGGAAACUAUUGAAUGUGUAGAGAAAGAGAACAUAGAAUUGAGGGACAAACUUGUUACGUCUGAUGUGAACUCUAAAUUAUUUCUUCAGCAGAUUGAGGAAUGGCUUGAAAACAAGGACACAUCACAACUUAAUACUCAAUCAUGCUCAAGUGAGAUAGAGCACCAAAGUAAUAUGUCAAAAGAAAUGAGAGAGGCCUUAGGUCCAUGCUUUUCAAAGCUUGCAACGCUAUUGGGAUCAGAAUCAAAUUUGAAGGAGUGGAUGGAGAGCAUGUCACAUCAGAUAAGAAAAUAUGAAGUUCUUGUGAAGCAGCUUAAGGAUGAAUUGAGAGAGGAAAAAUCAAAGGCAAAGGAAGAAGCGGAUGACCUAGCACAAGAAAUGGCUGAACUGCGGUACCAAAUGACGGGUUUGCUUGAAGAGGAGUGCAAGCGCCGUGCUUGCAUUGAACAAGCAUCUUUGCAGAGAAUAUCUGAACUAGAGGCACAGAUUGAAAGAGAACGGAGGAAAUUUUUUGCUGCUGUCGGGCAUCUCCAUGAAGCAGCAUAGGCAUUAAGAACUGUGGAAAUCCAUUAAUUGGAAAUAAGGGUUCAGGGCACUGGUUUGCCACAUGUCUUUGCCAUGCCAAAUUCAUUGGGUGGGGGGUUCCAGUUAAAGCUACCAUGGCCAUGCGUUCAGCUGUCCAGACAGCUAAUUCUGAUCAACUGUAUCGAUUAUCUCUGAAUUCUCUCUACUGGCAUGCUGCUAUGGUUGGAUCAUAACUGGGUCAUGGCCUUUCUCUAGCAUUGAGGGGGAAAAUAGAAACAAGAUUGCAGUUGCUUUCUUAUUUGAUUUAAGCUUCUGUUGAAGAGGUGGUGACUUCAUUUGCAAUUUAUACAAGCCAAAGAAGUGUGUCCAACUAGUAGGGUUUCUUCCAUGACAGGAUGAUUUUUGAGAUUUCUGACAGAAAUCCGUACAGUAUGGAGCCUCAGGGAACAUGUCAAUACAUAUCAGUUAUAUUUUACAUUUACAAAUGAAGGGCUAUGAGCAAUAUUUACUUCGUUGCUAUAUUUUUUUGGGUCUGAUGAACGCGACAUUGAACGAUAUUCUGCACCGCAUUUUAGUGGGAACACAAUAGAUUAAUCUGAAUGUAUAGGGUGUGAGUUUGUGCCUUAACCAUUUGUUUUACUGUUCACCACUCCGUGGCUUGGGAUGCUUUGAUUAAUCAAACAGCAAUCUGUCAUUUGAAUUUUCUA
Molecule: RNA transcript, 2052 nt
Organism: Populus trichocarpa (black cottonwood)
Lineage: Eukaryota; Viridiplantae; Streptophyta; Magnoliopsida; Malpighiales; Salicaceae
Exons: 11
Source: RefSeq, a predicted model, not a curated record